GACCAAGGGAUAAAGUUAUAUUGUUAGGUAAAAAGACGGUUAAGUUGUCAGAUAUAGUUUAAUGAUUUUUUAUAAAAGGGUAAAAUUUGAAUAUAAAAAUUUAAUUUUUUGUAGGCUAUAAUAUUGAAGCUGUGAUAGUUUUGAGGGAAACUGGGAUUAGAUACCCCAUUAUUCAUAAAUUGUAAAUGAACAUGAGUUUACCAGAGUAGUAUGAAUAUAUAAAAAUUUAAAACUCAAAGGGCUUGGCGGUGUUUUAGACCAAUUAGGGGAACCUGUCUCAUAAUCGACAGUCCACGUUAUACCUAACCUUUUUUAGUGAACAGUUUGUAUACCGUUGUCGUCAGGUAACUUUUAAAAAUAAAGAAGUUGGCAUUAAUAAUAAAAUUAAUUAAGACGUCAGAUCAAGGUGCAGCCUAUAAAAAGGAGAGGAUGGGUUACAAUUAUAAAAUAAUAAUUAUGGAUAGAAUAAUGAAAUAAACUUAAAGGAGGACUUAAAAGUAAUGUUGUAAUAUAUAAAUAAUUUGAAUUUGGCUCUGAAACGUGU
RNAcentral lists this ribosomal RNA (544 nucleotides) under Decipifus sp. EES-2022. RNAcentral describes it as "partial small subunit ribosomal RNA". The record is from RNAcentral. Lineage: Eukaryota; Metazoa; Mollusca; Gastropoda; Neogastropoda; Columbellidae.